GACUAUCUAGCUCAGUGGUUAGAGUACCUGUCCAUGCUUGCAGGAAGUCCUAGGUUCAAUUUCUGGUGUGGUCA
Molecule: non-coding RNA, 74 nt
Organism: Tephrocybe sp. NHM501043
Lineage: Eukaryota; Fungi; Basidiomycota; Agaricomycetes; Agaricales; Lyophyllaceae
Source: the annotation of a GenBank genome assembly